This is a long non-coding RNA of Serinus canaria (Common canary), 2260 nucleotides long. RefSeq lists it as uncharacterized. The record is from RefSeq and is a predicted model, not a curated record. Lineage: Eukaryota; Metazoa; Chordata; Aves; Passeriformes; Fringillidae. The transcript is spliced from 3 exons.
UUUGUGAAGAUCUAUUUUAUACACUGUAAUAUAAAAAUACUCAUAAAGGAAACAUAUGUGACAAGGCUUUGCAAGUAUUUUCCCUUGUGGUUUUGAAUAUCGAAUAGUACACCAGAAAUGAGGUCAACAUUCCAAAAACAAACACAGAAUCCUUGUAGGAGGGGCCAACACCCCAAAUCCACAACUGCUCCACCUAUUUCUAUUAGAUAAACUAUGCACAAAUGAGGAAAUUGUUUAAAAAGGUGUGCUAUGAAAAGCUAAAAAGCCAACCUUUAACAGAGAGCACAGAAAAGGCUGUAAAGGAACUACCAUAGUGACUGAUUGCAAAUGAAAACAGAAUUAUCAUGACUAAACAGCAGAGUAAAAAAGCUAUUAACAGCAAGUCAGUGAUUCAGAAAUCCUGAAGAUAGAGUUAAAUAAGCAGAAAAGUGGCCAGUCUGGUAGGGCCUAUAUAAAAGCACAAAAUGAGCUAGAAAAGAAAUUGUGUAGCAGCUUGCAGAGGGUAUAAAUAUUAAUGGACUGUCUUUCAGAACAUCAAAAGCAGAAAUUCUGUUGAAGAAUCUAAUAAGAUUUAGAAAGGAUGUGCAGAAACAAUAAUAUGAGAGCAGAAAACAUGCUUCUCUUUUGACAGCAGUGUAGUAGAGCUUUCCACAACAGCAGAAAACCAGUCCUCUGCUUAUUUGUCUUGAACCAGUGUCUGAAUAAGAUACUGAAAAAAAGGCAAAUGAAAAAGGAGGAUUCCUAUAAACCACAGAAUAGGCAAAAGAUCAAAUAGCUCAUUGACACUGAAGUGUCACCUUACUCCAUUACCAGACAACAUUCUCUAAUCUCCAAGGAAUGAGGUGCUAGAGUGACUGCUCCUCCUGCUCUCCUCACUGCAGGUGUGUGUGUGUGUCCCUGCUCAGCCCAGGGAGCACAGCACUGCAGAGCACUGUCACCCCCAGGAGCAGGCAUUGCUCACUGCUCUCCUCACUGCAGGUGUGUGUGUGUGUCCCUGCUCAGCCCAGGGAGCACAGCACUACAGAGCACUGUCACCCCCAGGAGCAGGCACUGCUCACUGCUCUCCUCACUGCAGGUGUGUGUGUGUGUGUCCCUGCUCAGCCCAGGGAGCACAGCACUGCAGAGCACUGUCACCCCCAGGAGCAGGCACUGCUCACUGCUCUCCUCACUCUAGGUGUGUGUGUGUGUCCCUGCUCAGCCCAGGGAGCACAGCACUACAGAGCACUGUCACCCCCAGGAGCAGGCACUGCUCACUGCUCUCCUCACUGCAGGUGUGUGUGUGUGUGUCCCUGCUCAGCCCAGGGAGCACAGCACUGCAGAGCACUGUCACCCCCAGGAGCAGGCAUUGCUCACUGCUCUCCUCACUGCAGGUGUGUGUGUGUGUCACUGCUCAGCCCAGGGAGCACAGCACUGCAGAGCACUGUCACCCCCAGGAGCAGGCACUGCUCACUGCUCUCCUCACUGCAGGUGUGUGUGUGUGUCACUGUGUCACUGUGUGUGUCACUGUGUGUGUCACUGCUCAGCCCAGAGCAGCUGGAAGCACCACCAAUCCCUCACCAAGGUCUCCUAACAAACCAGCAGUGAAGCAUCAUCCAAUGAAAUGUAAAUAUAAGACAAAGAAAAGAGGGACAAAAAUGCUUCAUUUUCACAGUGAAGACAAUCUGUAACUUUGGAUUUUGUGCUUCAAACACAUUCAUAACUUACAUGCAGAAGAGGCUAAAACAAGAUGAUGGCUGACGGCCUUAAUUUAGGGCAGUAAAAUCAACUGCAGCAGAACUGCAUAAUCAGUGAGGAAACCAGGACUUGGUGAUAGCAACAGAUAAUACAAGGACAGUUCUGAGCUCUAUGUGACAAGAUUAGCACAGGUAUCAGUUAUUAGGAAGGAAACCAAGACUUUCUCAGGAGAAACACAGGGAAAUUUACAAUGAAAAGAGGAAGGACAAGGACAAAUCAAAUGUCCAGAGCAAUUUCCAAUAAUUGACACCUAUAUUUGCCUCUUAUCCAGAUCCAGCAGUUCUGCUGGGAAAGGUAUGACAUAUCUGUACAACAAUAAAUAGCAUAAAGACAACUGAUACCAGGCCAUAAUUAGUUCUCCAUUCUACUUUCAUUACCCUGAAAUGUGCAAAUCCCUAAUUCAGACUAAAAAUCUUCAGAAACAGUAAUAUUGUCAGUUCUCUUGGAACUUAUAAGAUAAUUUUUAAUAAAACUAGUCACAUUUUGUCAUUUUGCAGCCUACAGCAUAAAUGAGAAAAAUAUGGUU